RNAcentral lists this ribosomal RNA (251 nucleotides) under uncultured prokaryote. RNAcentral describes it as "partial 16S ribosomal RNA". It matches the Rfam family "Bacterial small subunit ribosomal RNA", at positions 525 to 775 of the family's 1533-position model. The record is from RNAcentral.
ACGUAGGAGGCGAGCGUUAUCCGGAUUUACUGGGCGUAAAGCGCACGUAGGCGGUUACUUAAGUCGGAUGUGAAAGCCCCGGGCUCAACCUGGGAAUUGCAUCCGAUACUGGGUGACUAGAGUACGGUAGAGGGGGGUGGAAUUCCAGGUGUAGCGGUGAAAUGCGUAGAGAUCUGGAGGAACACCGGUGGCGAAGGCGGCCCCCUGGACUGAUACUGACGCUGAGGUGCGAAUGCGUGGGGAUCAAACAG